CAGAGUUAUAAAACUCCCAACCAUUGUGAAUAGACCCGCAAUACUACAGCGGGUGGUUCACUAUGACCACCCGCUGUAGUACGCAAACUCUUGCUACAGUGUAUCUCUGAGUAACUUAUUUAAUAAGUCA
Molecule: unclassified non-coding RNA, 130 nt
Filed under: soil metagenome
Description: partial internal transcribed spacer 1
Source: RNAcentral